AACAUGAGCUCUCCCAGCUGAGAAAAAGAGUGAAUCGCAGCGCAGCCAGCGACGGAGCCAGCGGCGAGCGGCACGGCGAGCAGCGGAGAUGAUCAGAUUUCUGCAGCCGUUCUUGCAGCCUUUUUCUGGCCACACAGCACACAGAGACUUUCUGCCUC
Entelurus aequoreus (snake pipefish) is the source of this 158-nucleotide long non-coding RNA. RefSeq lists it as uncharacterized. The transcript has 3 exons. The record is from RefSeq and is a predicted model, not a curated record. Lineage: Eukaryota; Metazoa; Chordata; Actinopteri; Syngnathiformes; Syngnathidae.